AGAGUUUGAUCCUGGCUCAGAUUGAACGCUGGCGGCAUGCCUUACACAUGCAAGUCGAACGGCAGCACGGACUUCGGUCUGGUGGCGAGUGGCGAACGGGUGAGUAAUGUAUCGGAACGUACCUUUCAGUGGGGGAUAACGUAGCGAAAGUUACGCUAAUACCGCAUAUUCUGUGAGCAGGAAAGCAGGGGAUCGCAAGACCUUGCGCUGAUUGAGCGGCCGAUAUCAGAUUAGCUAGUUGGUGAGGUAAAGGCUCACCAAGGCGACGAUCUGUAGCGGGUCUGAGAGGAUGAUCCGCCACACUGGAACUGAGACACGGUCCAGACUCCUACGGGAGGCAGCAGUGGGGAAUUUUGGACAAUGGGGGCAACCCUGAUCCAGCCAUGCCGCGUGAGUGAAGAAGGCCUUCGGGUUGUAAAGCUCUUUCGGCCGGGAAGAAAUCGCAUGGGUUAAUACCCUGUGCGGAUGGCGGUACCGGCAUAAGAAGCACCGGCUAACUACGUGCCAGCAGCCGCGGUAAUACGUAGGGUGCGAGCGUUAAUCGGAAUUACUGGGCGUAAAGCGUGCGCAGGCGGUUUUUUAAGACAGGCGUGAAAUCCCCGGGCUCAACCUGGGAACUGCGCUUGUGACUGGAAGGCUAGAGUAUGGCAGAGGGGGGUGGAAUUCCACGUGUAGCAGUGAAAUGCGUAGAGAUGUGGAGGAACACCAAUGGCGAAGGCAGCCCCCUGGGCCAAUACUGACGCUCAUGCACGAAAGCGUGGGUAGCAAACAGGAUUAGAUACCCUGGUAGUCCACGCCCUAAACGAUGUCAACUAGGUGUUGGGUGGGUAAAACCAUUUAGUACCGGAGCUAACGCGUGAAGUUGACCGCCUGGAGGGUACGGCCGCAAGGUUAAAACUCAAAGGAAUUGACGGGGACCCGCACAAGCGGUGGAUGAUGUGGAUUAAUUCGAUGCAACGCGAAAAACCUUACCUACCCUUGACAUGUCCAGGAGCCUGAAGAGAUUUGGGUGUGCCCGAAAGGGAACUGGAACACAGGUGCUGCAUGGCUGUCGUCAGCUCGUGUCGUGAGAUGUUGGGUUAAGUCCCGCAACGAGCGCAACCCUUGUCGUUAAUUGCCAUCAUUUAGUUGGGCACUUUAACGAGACUGCCGGUGACAAACCGGAGGAAGGUGGGGAUGACGUCAAGUCCUCAUGGCCCUUAUGGGUAGGGCUUCACACGUCAUACAAUGGUCGGUACAAAGGGUUGCCAAGCCGCGAGGUGGAGCCAAUCCCAGAAAGCCGAUCGUAGUCCGGAUCGCAGGCUGCAACUCGCC
RNAcentral lists this ribosomal RNA (1314 nucleotides) under metagenome. RNAcentral's name for it is "bacterial SSU rRNA". It matches the Rfam family "Bacterial small subunit ribosomal RNA", at positions 8 to 1316 of the family's 1533-position model. The record is from RNAcentral.